RNAcentral lists this ribosomal RNA (468 nucleotides) under uncultured bacterium. Its description in RNAcentral is "partial 16S ribosomal RNA". It matches the Rfam family "Bacterial small subunit ribosomal RNA", at positions 28 to 507 of the family's 1533-position model. The record is from RNAcentral.
GACGAACGCUGGCGGCGUGCUUAACACAUGCAAGUCGAACGGAAAGGCCCUGCUUUUGUGGGGUGCUCGAGUGGCGAACGGGUGAGUAACACGUGAGUAACCUGCCCUUGACUUUGGGAUAACUUCAGGAAACUGGGGCUAAUACCGGAUAGGAGCUCCUGCUGCAUGGUGGGGGUUGGAAAGUUUCGGCGGUUGGGGAUGGACUCGCGGCUUAUCAGCUUGUUGGUGGGGUAGUGGCUUACCAAGGCUUUGACGGGUAGCCGGCCUGAGAGGGUGACCGGCCACAUUGGGACGGAGAUGCGGCCCAGACUCCUACGGGAGGCAACAGUGGGGAAUAUUGCACUAUGGGCGGAAGCCUGAUGCAGCAACGCCGCGUGCGGGAUAACGGCCUUCGGGUUGUAAACCGCUUUCGCCUGUGACGAAGCGUGAGUGACGGUAAUGGGUAAAGAAGCACCGGCUAACUACGUG